Molecule: long non-coding RNA, 607 nt
Organism: Entelurus aequoreus (snake pipefish)
Lineage: Eukaryota; Metazoa; Chordata; Actinopteri; Syngnathiformes; Syngnathidae
Exons: 3
Source: RefSeq, a predicted model, not a curated record
AUGCCGUAGCGGGAGGAACUUGAGGAACUUGGCUGCAAUUCACUUGCUACUGAUGAGCCACAAGCGAACAGUAAUGGACAAAAGAAAGUCUACCUUCUGGAAAUAUCAGGUUCAAAGCCAUGGCAAGUUGUUCUUCAAACAAGAAAGGAUUAUUUGUCGUCGUGAGAAGAGGCGACGUCCCUGCAGCAAACGCCUGCUGUGCGUGUCGUUUUAAAGGAAGAAGAUGGGCAAUGCGUGUUUGUUUAGCGCCUGUGACAGAUUCGACGUUCCCCCUUCCCGACAACUGGCACAGGAGAACGCCAGAUGCCAAAGCAGGCAACAUCUGGACACUUCAUUAGACAGCGUCAAAGUAAACACGGACAGAUCUUUCAAAAACAUCUGUUGACAACGUACCUCCUCACGGCCGAGUAUGAGCAAAGUGUAAGUCAAGACAUCAGCGUACUGUAUGUCACGAUUUACGACGAUGGAAAAGUCCUCAUUUCUCAUCGACUGUGUGACACUGCUGCCGUGGCGACACUGUGCUAUUGUGUGCACUAUUGUGUGUGAGCUAUUGUGUGACCAACAAGGAAGCCAUUUAGCCUUGUAGGCUCCUGUGAAUGUUUCAAAA